This 390-nucleotide ribosomal RNA is filed under the name Triticum aestivum (bread wheat). Its description in RNAcentral is "partial small subunit ribosomal RNA". Lineage: Eukaryota; Viridiplantae; Streptophyta; Magnoliopsida; Poales; Poaceae. The record is from RNAcentral.
AUGAAUGUUCUAAGCUGGAACUGCCGGGGAGGGGGGAAUACCCAGACAGUUUGCGAGUUGGCGACUAUUUCAUAGUCGCAUUCCCCCAAUUUGGUGUUUUUGUGUGAGACUAGACAAAAAGCUGAUAAGAUGAGGAGGAUUCGAGGUCGUCUUGGCCUAAAGGGUUUUAUAGGAGUGGACUGCAACGGGAUGAGUGGCGGCCUUGCUUUGUUUAGGAAUGACUCAUAUGUGGUGGAAAUAUUGGACAAGGAAGAGAGGUACAUUGAUGCCCUUGUACGUGUUCACGAGGGUGCAGCUCGAAGGAGAAUAACGUGUGUUUAUGGAGAGCCGAGAGUGGAGAAUCGGCAUGUCAUGUGGGAGAAGUUGCAGCACCUGAAAAAAAACCAAUGA